Molecule: long non-coding RNA, 1282 nt
Filed under: Phoenix dactylifera (date palm)
Lineage: Eukaryota; Viridiplantae; Streptophyta; Magnoliopsida; Arecales; Arecaceae
Description: long non-coding RNA (PDAC_LNC014616)
Source: RNAcentral
UUGUGUUUAGUAAAAUGGGUCUGGCAUGUUAAAUUUUAUUUAAAAAUUAUAUUAUAUGCUCUGAAUUCCGUGAAACAUGCCUGUACAGUUUAUGAAAUCUAUUUUUAUAUUUAUGCAUUCUCAGCAUGGCUAUGAUCUGUUCUGUUCUGUUCUGGCCCCGCCAAUGGAGAUUAUACGUUGGACUUGUCGACUUGUAAUCUGUGAGGAACCGGUUUCGACACCGUGCCACCGGUGAUUAGAAUAGUGGUUUCUGGACACCGGUGACUAACAAUAGUGGUUUCUGGCACUCUGUGCAACCCAUGCCACUGGGUUACGUGGCCGUAGCCUAUCAUGUUGAGAUUCUGGUAUCAGAGUUUUCGGAAAAAUGAUAAUAAGUUUUGAAAACAGCAAAACAAUGAUAUUUGUGAUUGAUUCCAGACAUUAUCCUGUAUUUUGAUCUGUUAUUCUCUGACCCCACUUUGGGGUAUUUUGUUGCUUACUGGGCUAGUGUAACUUAUUAUUUUAUUUUCUCUGUUUUUCAGAUCCAGAGGCUUGAUCGCACGGGAUUGGGGAGUGCGUUAGAUUUUUCGAUGAUUUCUUCGAUUAUGGGCAUUUUAGUUAAAUUAGUUUGGACAUUUGAACUAUGUUGGCAUAUGCUAUUUUGAAAUUUUGUAAGUCCGCUUUUGAACAAUUUAAAUAAUUAUGUCAUCUUUGAAUAGCUGUAUCUGCUUUGAUAUGAUCUGCUGCCUUGCGCACCCGUGCGGCCCGCCGUGCGGGCGUGCGGCGUCUGCCGCGCCUCGGGCUCGGGGCAUGACAUUUAGGGUGGGAGCAAAAGGAUUCAUUCCGAGUGGUUGGAGCUUCUUGGGUGAAGGAGGAGAUGAUGAAGUGUAAUAUGAUCUUAUCGUGGGGUAAGAUUGAGGAGAGGGGGAAUUAUUAUGCACGGGCCCAGAAUAUGAGUGCUUGUAGCUUAUCCCAUUAUCAUUUUUGCUGUGGGUCAAAUUGUAAUUUAGGCUUAAGUUGUAGCAGGCCUUUGGCUUUACCUAUAGCUUGUGAUGAAGUAGCAAGCUUUCGAACGCCAAAUCUGGGUGGUCCUUUCAACUCAACCUAUAGGUAGGUCGAGUGCCCUAUUCAAACACAUCUGAAGCAAAGCUCCGAUAGGUUUCCGUAGAUAAAUUGUUAUCAAAAAACAAAGUCAAGAUCUUGAAUUCAUCAGCCAAGUUUCAGUGGUUCGGCAAUAUCAUUCCAUACAAAAACACGGGCAUAGCCAACUCCCCAGCGCUGAUCAGUAAAGACGCCCAUGAUC